UACGUAGGGGGCAAGCGUUGUCCGGAAUCAUUGGGCGUAAAGAGCGUGUAGGCGGUUUGGUAGGUCCGCUGUGAAAACUCGAAGCUCAACCUCGAGACGCCGGUGGAAACCAUCAGGCUAGAGUCCGGAAGAGGAGAGUGGAAUUCCUGGUGUAGCGGUGAAAUGCGCAGAUAUCAGGAAGAACACCCGUGGCUAAGGCGGCUCUCUAGUACGGUACUGACGCUGAGACGCGAAAGCGUGGGGAGCGAACAGG
Molecule: ribosomal RNA, 253 nt
Filed under: uncultured bacterium
Lineage: Bacteria
Description: partial 16S ribosomal RNA
Rfam family: Bacterial small subunit ribosomal RNA
Source: RNAcentral